GAUGAACGCUGGCGGCGUGCCUAAUACAUGCAAGUCGAGCGAACAGACGAGGAGCUUGCUCCUUCGACGUUAGCGGCGGACGGGUGAGUAACACGUAGGUAACCUACCUAUAAGACUGGGAUAACUUCGGGAAACCGGAGCUAAUACCGGAUAAUAUUUCGAACCGCAUGGUUCGAUAGUGAAAGAUGGCUUUGCUAUCACUUAUAGAUGGACCUGCGCCGUAUUAGCUAGUUGGUAAGGUAACGGCUACCAAGGCAACGAUACGUAGCCGACCUGAGAGGGUGAUCGGCCACACUGGAACUGAGACACGGUCCAGACUCCUACGGGAGGCAGCAGUAGGGAAUCUUCCGCAAUGGGCGAAAGCCUGACGGAGCAACGCCGCGUGAGUGAUGAAGGUCUUCGGAUCGUAAAACUCUGUUAUUAGGGAAGAACAAACGUGUAAGUAACUGUGCACGUCUUGACGGUACCUAAUCAGAAAGCCACGGCUAACUACGUG
RNAcentral lists this ribosomal RNA (496 nucleotides) under uncultured bacterium. RNAcentral's name for it is "partial 16S ribosomal RNA". It matches the Rfam family "Bacterial small subunit ribosomal RNA", at positions 28 to 507 of the family's 1533-position model. The record is from RNAcentral.